This 92-nucleotide transfer RNA is filed under the name subsurface metagenome. RNAcentral's name for it is "tRNA-Ser". It matches the Rfam family "tRNA". Rfam says of the family: Transfer RNA (tRNA) molecules are approximately 80 nucleotides in length. The record is from RNAcentral.
CGGAGAGGUACCCAAGUGGCUGAAGGGGCGGGUUUGCUAAACCUGUAGUAGGUCGAAUGGCCUAGCGUGAGUUCGAAUCUCACCCUCUCCGU